Schistosoma mattheei is the source of this 45-nucleotide non-coding RNA. The record is from Rfam. NCBI's taxonomy places the organism in Eukaryota, Metazoa, Platyhelminthes, Trematoda, Strigeidida, Schistosomatidae.
AUUUAGCUAUUGAGUCCCAAACAGGACGAAACGCACGUCCUGGAU